RNAcentral lists this ribosomal RNA (608 nucleotides) under Meyerozyma guilliermondii. RNAcentral's name for it is "eukaryotic LSU rRNA". It matches the Rfam family "Eukaryotic large subunit ribosomal RNA", at positions 66 to 668 of the family's 3401-position model. The record is from RNAcentral. Lineage: Eukaryota; Fungi; Ascomycota; Pichiomycetes; Serinales; Debaryomycetaceae.
CAAAAGGGCUUGCCUAGUAGCGGCGAGUGAGCGGCAAAAGCUCAAAUUUGAAAUCUGGCGCCUUCCGUGUCUCAGUUUUAAUUUCAAUAUAGUUGCCUUGGGGUUGGCUCUUGUCUAUGUUUCUUUGGACAGGACUAUCCAGAGGGGUGACAAUCCCGUGCGAUGAGAUGCCCCCUUCUAUGUAAGGUGCUUUUUAAAAGUCGAGUUGUUUGGGAAUGUGCAUCUCAGUGGGUGGGAAAUUCCAUCUAAAGCUAAAUAUAGUGGAGAGACCGAUAUCGAACAAGUACACCGAUGGAAAGAUGAAAAGAACUUUGAAAAAAGAGUGAAAAAGUACGUGAAAUUGUUGAAAGGGAAGGGUUUGAGAUCAGACUCGAUGUUCAUUGAGCCUUGCCUUCUUGGCGGGGUGACCCUUUGAACUAUCGGGCCUCCAUUUUGUUGGGCGGUAAGAUAAUGGAAUAAGAAGGUGACUUUACUUCUGUGAAAUGUUACUGUCUGCUUUGAUGCUGCCUGCCGAGACCUACGACUGCCAUUUUAUCCGGAUGCUGGCAUAAUGAUCCUUACCGCCCGACUUGAAGGACUUUACCAGACCCGUCUUGAAACACGGACCA